ACUUUUUAGGUUAGCGGCGAAGGUUGCAGUCGCCACCAACAGGUAGUGAAAGUAAAGCAGGUUAUUGACUGCGCCAGUCUCAUUGUAACGUCCAACACAUGUAAAAGACACUGACGACCGUCCCGAUUAUCGAUUGCAAAUUCGGGAGAGGGAAAAGCCAUGGCAGACUGUCUACUGGUUUGGGGCCCAAGGCCGCGACGCGCGACGACCUGUCCCGUCGUAAUGUAAUUACGAUAUUCUAGAGAGCCGUGGAAAAUGAAGUCACCGGCAUUGCAGCGUCCAACUUUCGACCGCUUUGUCCGAGAUUGCGAGGAGGAAGCCAUCAAU
Molecule: long non-coding RNA, 327 nt
Organism: Frankliniella occidentalis (western flower thrips)
Lineage: Eukaryota; Metazoa; Arthropoda; Insecta; Thysanoptera; Thripidae
Exons: 3
Source: RefSeq, a predicted model, not a curated record